AAUUGCUGUCCGCCGCCGCCCUCCAGCUGUGCGGCUCCGCCCGGGACCCCGGCGCGCUGCGCGGCGGGAGGACGGGCCCCUGGUGGCUUUCCGUGGCACACGGUUCGGGGCCACCUGCUGCGCACCCGGUCCUGCACCUUCAUGAAAUCGCACCCUAAGCCUCACAACCACCUUGGGAGACGUUAUCGCCCGCGUCUUAUGGAGGAGGAAAGUGAGGGUUACUAAGUCUAAGGAUUUACCCCAUCCGUGGGUGUAAUCAAGCAAAUCACAACAGGGAUUUACUCGUGUCUGCCCCGAGAUUUCCAGAACUCUGCAUCCUUUGUUGCAGCUCAAACUGUGAUCCACAGAGUACCAGCGACCCAGCUUCCAGGCGAACUGGAUACAAGUACUGAUUUCUGGAGUUGGCCCCGGACCUACUGACCAUCCAGACCCGGUGCUAAAACUGAAGGUUUUCAUGGAAGUCAGAUUUCAUGGAAGGAAGAUGUUCCUAUCCUGUGACAUUUGGCCAGAUCACCUGAGCCCCCGGUUUCCUCCGCUGUGAAAUGCGGUUGACAGCUGUUGGUGGGAUUUUAAAGAAAGGCUGCGCUGUACCUGACACGGGCUGGCCCACCCGGUGGCACUAUGGGUCCACCCACAGCCCCUGCUCCAGAUUCCCUGCUCUCUCCCUUAUGUUCAGGUACUCUGGGGGGCUCUAAAAAUGCAAAACGGAUGAAGACAUUUGGGGUGGCUGCUGGCAGGGAGCCACGUUCUGCCCCAUAAUAAACUGGACGAGGAGCUAAGAGUCUUCUUCUGAGAAUAUUAAAAUGUCUAUUGACCAAA
This is a long non-coding RNA of Felis catus (domestic cat), 819 nucleotides long. RefSeq lists it as uncharacterized. The record is from RefSeq and is a predicted model, not a curated record. NCBI's taxonomy places the organism in Eukaryota, Metazoa, Chordata, Mammalia, Carnivora, Felidae. The transcript is spliced from 3 exons.